AGAGUUUGAUCCUGGCUCAGGAUGAACGCUAGCUACAGGCUUAACACAUGCAAGUCGAGGGGAAACGACAUCGAAAGCUUGCUUUUGAUGGGCGUCGACCGGCGCACGGGUGAGUAACGCGUAUCCAACCUGCCCAUCACUUGGGGAUAACCUUGCGAAAGUAAGACUAAUACCCAAUGACGUCUCUAGAAGACAUCUGAAAGAGAUUAAAGAUUUAUCGGUGAUGGAUGGGGAUGCGUCUGAUUAGCUUGUUGGGCGGGGGUAACGGCCCGACCAAGGCGACGAUCAGGUAGGGGUUCUGGAGGAGGAACGGUCCCCCACAUUGGAACUGAGACACGGUCCAAACUCCCUACGGGAGGCA
This 361-nucleotide ribosomal RNA is filed under the name uncultured bacterium. Its description in RNAcentral is "bacterial SSU rRNA". It matches the Rfam family "Bacterial small subunit ribosomal RNA", at positions 8 to 350 of the family's 1533-position model. The record is from RNAcentral.